Molecule: ribosomal RNA, 194 nt
Filed under: uncultured bacterium
Lineage: Bacteria
Description: partial 16S ribosomal RNA
Rfam family: Bacterial small subunit ribosomal RNA
Source: RNAcentral
CCUACGGGAGGCAGCAGUGGGGAAUCUUGGACAAUGGGCGCAAGCCUGAUCCAGCAAUGCCGCGUGGGUGAAGAAGGCCUUCGGGUUGUAAAGCCCUUUCGGUGGGGAAGAAAUCGGCCGGGCGAAUAGUCCGGUCGGAUGACGGUACCCGCAGAAGAAGCACCGGCUAACUACGUGCCAGCAGCCGCGGUAAU